UACGGAGGGUGCGAGCGUUGUCCGGAAUCACUGGGCGUAAAGGGCGCGUAGGCGGCUAGGGAAGUCGGCGGUGAAAGCCCGGAGCUCAACUCCGGGUCGGCCGUCGAGACUCCUCGGCUCGAGCUCACUAGAGGCAGAUGGAAUUCCGGGUGUAGCGGUGGAAUGCGUAGAGAUCCGGAAGAACACCGGUGGCGAAGGCGGUCUGCUGGGGUGAGGCUGACGCUGAUGCGCGACAGCGUGGGGAGCAAACAGG
RNAcentral lists this ribosomal RNA (253 nucleotides) under uncultured bacterium. RNAcentral describes it as "partial 16S ribosomal RNA". It matches the Rfam family "Bacterial small subunit ribosomal RNA", at positions 524 to 776 of the family's 1533-position model. The record is from RNAcentral.